This 298-nucleotide ribosomal RNA is filed under the name uncultured eukaryote. Its description in RNAcentral is "partial 18S ribosomal RNA". It matches the Rfam family "Eukaryotic small subunit ribosomal RNA", at positions 1470 to 1796 of the family's 1831-position model. The record is from RNAcentral.
CCCUUAGACACUCUAGGCGGCACGCGUGCUACAAUGGGUGGAAGAACGUGUUACUGCCUCCGAAAGGAGGGGUGAAUCACGAAUUCUUGCCCGUGAAUGGGAUAGUUUGUUGCAAUUUUCGGACUUGAACUAGGAAUCCCUUGUAAACAUGCUCAAGAAUAGCGUGUUGAAUACGUCCCUGCCGUUUGUACACACCGCCCGUCGUUUCUUCCGACUGAUACUCAUUGUGAGUUGCAAGGACCCUUUAUUGGGAAAUUGCUGCAAAUGCUUUGUAUUGGAGGAAGAAAAAGUCGUAACA